GCAUAUCAAUAAGCGGAGGAAAAGAAACCAACAGGGAUUGCCCUAGUAACGGCGAGUGAAGCGGCAACAGCUCAAAUUUGAAAUCUGGCCCUAGGCCCGAGUUGUAAUUUGCAGAGGAUGCUUCGGGCGCGGUGCCUUCCAAGUCCCCUGGAACGGGGCGCCGGAGAGGGUGAGAGCCCCGUACGGUUGGCGGCCAAGCCUGUGUGAAGCUCCUUCGACGAGUCGAGUAGUUUGGGAAUGCUGCUCUAAGCGGGAGGUAGACCCCUUCUAAAGCUAAAUAUAGGCCAGAGACCGAUAGCGCACAAGUAGAGUGAUCGAAAGAUGAAAAGCACUUUGAAAAGAGGGUUAAAUAGCACGUGAAAUUGUUGAAAGGGAAGCGCUUGUGACCAGACGUGCGCCGGGGUGUUCAGCGGGCGUUCUCGCCCGUGCACUCGCCUCGGCGCAGGCCAGCGUCGGUUCGAGUGGGAGGAUAAAGGCGUCUGGAAUGUGGCUCCUCCGGGAGUGUUAUAGCCAGACGUGCCAUGCUCCCGCCCGGACCGAGGUACGCGUUCUGCAAGGACGCUGGCGUAAUGGUCUCCAGCGACCCGUCUUGAAACACGGACCAAGGAGUCGAGGUUUUGCGCGAGUGUUUGGGUGUUAAACCCGCACGCGUAAUGAAAGUGAACGUAGGUGGGAGCUUCGGCGCACCACCGACCGAUCCUGAUGUUUUCGGAUGGAUUUGAGUAAGAGCGUAGGGCCUCGGACCCGAAAGAUGGUGAACUAUGCUUGGAUAGGGUGAAGCCAGAGGAAACUCUGGUGGAGGCUCGCAGCGGUUCUGACGUGCAAAUCGAUCGUCAAAUCUGAGCAUGGGGGGCGAAAGACUAAUCGAACCAUCUAGUAGCUGGUUACUGCCGA
Molecule: ribosomal RNA, 894 nt
Filed under: Gonytrichum macrocladum
Lineage: Eukaryota; Fungi; Ascomycota
Description: LSU rRNA
Rfam family: Eukaryotic large subunit ribosomal RNA
Source: RNAcentral